GAAUCUGCAGCGCUGGUGAUCUGCAAUCACAAGGACAGUAGGUGGUAGCUGCUCCAGCCCGGAUACAAAUGGCCCAGAAAGAUGCACAAGGCACCCAGGCCUAGACUGGGGAACUCUGCGCAUCCAUCCUGCCACCUGGAGGAGCAACUUUUAGUUGCUGAUCACCAGGGAGCAAGUUGGCGCAUGUCCCCCACCCCAGACGAGUCACCUUCCAGACAAGGGUCUGUGCGAGGCCUAAUGACAGACACCCAACUGGCAACUGUAGCCAAGAUGCUCUGUUUCUGCAACCCCUACCCCGCCCAUCUCAGUUGCACUGACUGCGACUUUUUAACUUCAGAAUCCAUGUAUUGGGUUGCCAGCUCCUUAAAGUCCCUCCUUUCCCAUCCUUUGGGCACAGCUUGGGGAAACUCCUGGGGCCUGGACCAGGCUCAUUUUCCAUCUCCCUGGUGAGGUUUGCCUGCAAAGCUAUUUUGAAGAAGCAGAUCCUUCUGCUACCCCCUGGAAUCUUCUCCAGGACCCACCAGCACUGGGACAGAGUGAGGAGAGGUUGCAGGGCUGUUCAAACAGCUCUUGUGCGGGACAAGUGAGCGCAACAGAACUAGCACCUGAGGCUCCCGCUGCAGAGGGCUGACAUCCUGGGUGGAC
This 645-nucleotide long non-coding RNA is filed under the name Mus pahari (shrew mouse). RNAcentral describes it as "predicted gene, 37885 (MGP_PahariEiJ_G0003705.1)". Lineage: Eukaryota; Metazoa; Chordata; Mammalia; Rodentia; Muridae. The record is from RNAcentral.